UACGAAGGGGGCUAGCGUUGCUCGGAAUCACUGGGCGUAAAGCGCACGUAGGCGGAUUGCUAAGUCAGGGGUGAAAUCCUGGAGCUCAACUCCAGAACUGCCUUUGAUACUGGCGACCUUGAGUCCGGGAGAGGUGAGUGGAACUGCGAGUGUAGAGGUGAAAUUCGUAGAUAUUCGCAAGAACACCAGUGGCGAAGGCGGCUCACUGGCCCGGUACUGACGCUGAGGGGCGAAAGCGUGGGGAGCAAACAGG
This 253-nucleotide ribosomal RNA is filed under the name uncultured bacterium. RNAcentral's name for it is "partial 16S ribosomal RNA". It matches the Rfam family "Bacterial small subunit ribosomal RNA", at positions 524 to 776 of the family's 1533-position model. The record is from RNAcentral.